GUCGGACAGUUUGUCGCUUGCGGCUUUAUGCCUCAAGAGGAAAGUCCGGGCAACACAGGGCACCUUGCUUCCUAACGGGAAGAGGUUCGUGAGAGCCUGUCAGUGCAGAAGAAAACAACCGCCGUCGUUUGCUGACGGUAAGGGUGAGAAGGUGGGGUAAGAGCCCACCAGGCGCAUGGCGACAUGCGUGCUGUGCACUCCGAGGGUUGAAAGUUCGCGUAAACCGACGUCUGAAGGUGGUCCCGCCUGAGCAACUUGUUGCACGUCGGAGGGUAGAACGAUAGAGCCAUACGGCGACGUAUGGUGUAGAUAAAUGACAAACACGCACGCUAUUGUGCGUACAGAACCCGGCUCAUCGUCCGACUGA
This 367-nucleotide RNase P RNA is filed under the name bovine gut metagenome. Its description in RNAcentral is "Bacterial RNase P class A". It matches the Rfam family "Bacterial RNase P class A". From Rfam's summary of the family: Ribonuclease P (RNase P) is a ubiquitous endoribonuclease, found in archaea, bacteria and eukarya as well as chloroplasts and mitochondria. Its best characterised activity is the generation of mature 5'-ends of tRNAs by cleaving the 5'-leader elements of precursor-tRNAs. Cellular RNase Ps are ribonucleoproteins. The record is from RNAcentral.